AUGUGUAUUCUUCGCUGCAUCAUUUGUGAUCGUACUUCAUGUAAGAUUGCACAUCCAUCUUGUGGUGAGAAUGUGUAUUUCACGGGUGAUAACGCUCAGUAUGGCUUUCCGGUACACUAUAAGUGGGGAGCUGAUCUAGGUGGAAUGCUCGAAUCUGACUUCAUAUACUUCGAUCGUGAAAGUGAUGACGAGUUUGCAAAGAUUCUAUCAGAGGCGUCUUGUUCUUCAUCAUCCCCUAAGAAGACCAGAGAUGAGUUUCCUUGGUCACAGAGGAAUACCAGAGCUAGAACCGAUGCUGGUUUUGGCGUUGCCCCGGUCCCUUUCUGGAGGGUGCAAGUGGUUAUAUUGAGCAACCAUCCUUGUGUUGGCUUAUGUGAGCUCGUGUAG
This 387-nucleotide ribosomal RNA is filed under the name Triticum aestivum (bread wheat). Its description in RNAcentral is "partial small subunit ribosomal RNA". The record is from RNAcentral. Lineage: Eukaryota; Viridiplantae; Streptophyta; Magnoliopsida; Poales; Poaceae.